Molecule: long non-coding RNA, 405 nt
Filed under: Olea europaea subsp. europaea
Lineage: Eukaryota; Viridiplantae; Streptophyta; Magnoliopsida; Lamiales; Oleaceae
Source: RNAcentral
CAGAAACUAUUGAACCCAGUCUUAUAGAUUGGUUGAAAAAGGUUGAUGACUUGAAGAAACAGACACAUGAAGUUUUGGAAAGUGAAACAAAUUUUGAAAUGCAGUACCUGUUCUUUAUAUGUCCAAAUUUGAAGACUCGUUACUCGCUUGGCUGGAAAGCCAUAGAGAAGACGACUGAGGUUGCUAAGCUCCGAAAGGAAGGUACAUUAUUUCAAAAUGUGGCCAAGCCUAAACAAUUGGUGCAAAUAUCUUUUCAAAACUCCCGUAACUUUGGAGCUUCGAAACAAGGAUAUCAAUUAAAAAGGAAAUCAUGGAUGCUCUAAAGGACAAAAAAGUCAGCAUAAUUGUGAUAUGUGGCAUGGGUGGAGUAGGUAAGACGAUAAUGGCAAAUCCCGGUAUAUUACA